UACAGGGGGUGCAAGCGUUGCUCGGAAUCACUGGGCGUAAAGCGUGCGCAGGCGGUUGUGCAAGACAGAUGUGAAAUCCCCGGGCUCAACCUGGGAAUUGCAUUUGUGACUGCACGGCUAGAGUGUGUCAGAGGGGGGUAGAAUUCCACGUGUGAGCAGUGAAAUGCGUAGAGAUGUGGAGGAAUACCGAUGGCGAAGGCAGCCCCCUGGGAUAACACUGACGCUGAGGCGCGACAGCGUGGGGAGCAAACAGG
Molecule: ribosomal RNA, 254 nt
Filed under: uncultured bacterium
Lineage: Bacteria
Description: partial 16S ribosomal RNA
Rfam family: Bacterial small subunit ribosomal RNA
Source: RNAcentral